UUGCCUCUUUUUUCAUUACUUAAAAUGGCAUAGGAAUUCCAAAUUGGAAUUACUUUCUAGUCCUAAAUUGUCCUUUUAAUAUAGUCUUUAGUUUGGAUAUUGCUGACAAACGCUCAGUUUAAAUGAAACAUCUGUUUGUAUGAGGCAUUGAAAUUGAAAACCACUGUGAAAGGGGAUACCACAGCUAACCUGGCAACCACAAGCUUUUGUAAAAAGGAGGUGAGUGAAACUAUCAGAGAAGUUAUGGAACGUUAAACAUUAUGUAUUGUGGUACAUAUUUAUUCACUUCUCUAAUUAGAUGCUGCAGCAGAAAAGAGGAAAGGUACAGUGCCAAACUGAUUCUGCAGUCACUGUUAGAUUAAUAAAGGAUGAGCCUGGGGGCGGAAGCGCUUCUUAAGUUAAAGCAAGUGUGGACAUUUUUAUAUCUGAGGAAAUUCAAUGAAGGCGACAUCUUCCAUUUGCAAUCAUCUUUUGUUUUAAUUUCAGCACUUUUGAAACAAGAUUCAGUUGUGUUUUAAUUUCCUUUUGUUUCAUUUGGAUUUUGUUUGAAGUCAUUAGGGAGUGAAAUAUGCCAGCUGCACUCCUCUGCAUGUGUUUUACAUACAGAAGGUUCAGAAGUGCUUCUAGAAUUCCAGAGAUUCAACUAAUAUAUAAACUGGGAGAGGAGGGGCAGGCUCUGGGAGCCCCUCUCUGCCAUCGUCUCCUGAAUGUGCAGCAGAGCAGUUCCAGUCCGUCCGGGAUGCUCUAAAGUAUUUAUUCCUUUUGGGAUACAUGAUGAGAAUUCCCAAGAGAGGUAGUUAUAAGGUAUGACAUCGGGAAAAAAGCCUGUGGUUGGAAUGUUGUUGCUGUCAAAAGUUAAUUUUUCCUUCUUUCUUAGCCAGUAGUUAACAUUUUGCUUUAUUUUUGUGGUAUCGGUAUUUUAUUGUUUAAAAAAUUGUUUCAAAAUAACUUCAGUGGUCGCCCACCAGUACCUUGUUCAGAUUUGCCUAUUUGCUUGUAGCUAAAAUGUUCACAUCUUGUUUAUCAUUCUAUUUAAGAAACUGCUGCCCAGCCAACUAAUAACUGAAUAUCCAUCUGUGUAGGACACGGGGAGAGGAUUUAGGUAAUGUCUUUGUUUGCAGAAAAAAGUUCCAGUGUAGUUUCUAAAUAGAGGAGAAGUGGAUGAAGACUCGGGGCUCUGAUGCCAUUGGGGCACCCCAAGGUCCCCAGGAGAAGGAGCCCCAUUGGGGUGCAGGAGCAGGUGUGUUCUCAUGUAAUAUAGAAUAAAUUAUAAAUAUAAAUAUGACA
RNAcentral lists this long non-coding RNA (1287 nucleotides) under Junco hyemalis (dark-eyed junco). Its description in RNAcentral is "lncRNA (ENSJHYG00000009362.1)". Lineage: Eukaryota; Metazoa; Chordata; Aves; Passeriformes; Passerellidae. The record is from RNAcentral.